AAGUAAAAACUCCCUUGUACCUCGUCCAGCCUCCAGUUCUGCUCGGCCCGCCCCCACUCUAUGGCCAUCUACAAGAGCAUGGACUACGGCAUGACCUGGACGCCCUUCCAGUACUACUCCAACGACUGCAAGAAAAUGUACACAAAGUCCCCCCACGCCAAGGUCACCAAAGCCAACGAGCAAGAGGCCAGGUGCUCGGAGACGUACAGCACCAUCGACCCGUUCUCCGGGGCCAGGGUCGGCUUCUCCACCCUAGAGGGCCGGCCCUCCGCAGGGGACUUCGACAACAGCCCCGUCCUCCAGGACUGGGUCACGUUCACCGACAUCAAGGUCGUGUUCAACAAGCUCAACACGUUAGGCGACGAGAUAAAGGACGACGAAGGCGCCAAGAGGAGUUACUACUACUCGCUGUCCGACUUCGCCGUUGGAGGACGCUGCAAGUGCAACGGCCACGCCUCACGGUGUGUGAAGGGCGAUGACGGCCGGUUAGCCUGUGAGUGCAAGCACACACGGCCCCGGGAUUGUGAGAAGUGCCAGAGGUUUCACUAUGAUCGCCCCUGGCAGAGAGCCACCAAGGGCCAGGCUAACGAGUGUGUGGCGUGUCAGUGUAACCUCCACGCCCGGAAGUGCCGUUUCAACAUGGGUCUGUACGAGUUGUCCGGCCGGAAGAGCGGGGGUGUCUGCCUGAACUGCCGGCACAACACCAAGGGACGCAACUGCAACUACUGCUCGGUGGGAUACUAUCGGGACCGGAGCAAGGACAUCAAGCACAGGAAGGCCUGUAAAG
This 787-nucleotide small RNA is filed under the name Aplysia californica (California sea hare). RNAcentral's name for it is "netrin-1-like". Lineage: Eukaryota; Metazoa; Mollusca; Gastropoda; Aplysiida; Aplysiidae. The record is from RNAcentral.